AGUCUGUGAGCUGGGAGCCUGUUGGCAGGUCCCUCUUUUUAUUUUCGCUGAGAGCUUUCUUUUACUAAAUGCCACCAUCCUUACCUUUCAAGGUGUCUGCGUGCCUAAUUUUUCCUGGUUGUUAGACAAGAACCCGGAUUUUAGUUGAACUCUGGAGCAAAAAUCCUGCAUCAUUUGUAGGUGGGUGUCAUUGUGACUGGCUGCUACCUCCCCAUGAGUCUUCUAAAAUAAAACCUGCAAAUUCACAUCUUCCCCAUGCUUCCAGAGAAUGCAUAUUCUUCCUUUGAAAAAAGAAAACCAGCACUGUUCAUAAUAGCCAAGAUUUGGAAGCCACCUAAGUGUCCAUCAACAGAUGAAUGGAGAAACUGUGGUACAUAUACACAACGGAGUGCUAUUCAGCCAUAAAAAAGAAUGAUACUCUGUCAUCUGCAACAACAUGAAUGGAACUGGAGAUCAUUAUGUUGUUAAAUAAGCCAGACACAGAAAGACAAACAUCACAUAUUUUCACUUAUUUUGGGGAUAUAAAAGUCAAAACAAACUCAUGGAGAUAGAGAACAGAUAGACGGUUACCAGAGGCUAGGAGGAGGAGUGGUGGGGGGCAGUUAGUGAUGGUUAAUUGGUACAAAAAAAUGGUUAGAAAUAAUAAAUAAGACCUAGUAUUAGAUAGGACAACAGGAGGACUAUAGUCAAAAAUAAUUUAUUUGUACAUUUCAAAGUAACUAAAAGAGUGUAAUUGUAUUAUUUGUAGCACAUAGGAUAAAUGCUUGAGGUGACGGAUACCCCAUUUACCCUGAUGUGAUUAUUACACAUCGUAUGCCUGUACCAAAAGAUCUCAUGUACCUCAUAAAUACAUACACCUACUAUAUACCCACACAAAUUAAAAAUUAAAAAAAUUUAAAGAAAUUACAGUUUGUUGGUUUUGAAUAUUUGACCAAAUUUUUUACUAAGCACAGAUAGAUUGAAUAUAAUUUUAUUGUCCUUUUGACAUUAUGAUAAUGAAGGUAUCUACACAGAAGUCUGAGAUGAGAAAAAAAUGAUAUAAUAUCCACCUACUACAUAGUGGGUAGUUUAUAUACUAAAGUUAUUGUUAUGAGAAAGAAUGGCUUAGGAAUAUUAUUUAAAAUUAAUUAAGGGGUGUUAAAAAUAAAAUACCAAGUGUAAAAAUGACAAAGGCAAGAAGAAACAGUAUAUAAUGUGAGUAAAUCUUAAUCUUUCCAAGAGAGGAGACAGUACAUAAUGUCUAAAAUUGUUAAACCAUGAAAUAGAAAUAUAGUUAUUUUAUUCAUAAUUAAGGAGAUAACUACUAUAGCACGAAAUCGUGCCAAAAAUGGUUGCCUCUGGGAAAUGUGAUUAUAGAUAUUAUAAUAUUUUGGACUGUAAAAAUCUGCUUUUAAGACUGAGGAAAUACAAAUAGGACAAUAUUUAUUUGAAAUUUGUAUCCUCAGGGAGUGUAAAGAAAUUAAUGUAUCCACAAAAUAAUAAUAGCUGCUAUUUGAAAACAUAGUUUUCUUGAAAGUUAAAAUAGUAAUAGUCUUCUAAAAAUUUUGUUAGUUUUGGUUUUCUCUUUAAUCUGAGUUAUGUAGAAAAGUGCUUAUUUCAAAUUAGGUAGGCUUGUUUUAUUCCUUUUUCUGUCUUUUUUCUAUCAACUAGUGUUUUAUUGUGUUCAGAAAAUGCCAUGCAUUAAAAGACUACUUUUGAGAAUUUCUAGAGAUUUUCUUUGUUACUAAAGAGAUUUUUGUAAUUGUUACAUGGGAUUUUAAAAAGAAUGUAAAUUAUCCUUUUUGUCAAGUAUAAUGAUUUCUGAAACCUAGCUGUGUCAGAAU
Molecule: long non-coding RNA, 1823 nt
Filed under: Homo sapiens (human)
Lineage: Eukaryota; Metazoa; Chordata; Mammalia; Primates; Hominidae
Description: non-protein coding lnc-MMRN1-12:21
Source: RNAcentral